RNAcentral lists this long non-coding RNA (665 nucleotides) under Daucus carota (carrot). RNAcentral's name for it is "long non-coding RNA (DCAR_LNC002746)". The record is from RNAcentral. Lineage: Eukaryota; Viridiplantae; Streptophyta; Magnoliopsida; Apiales; Apiaceae.
UAAGUGGAUUUUAUAUCCACUUUGAAGCCUUCGUUUUGACUUAAAUGGAUGAUCUGGCCUCAAGCUUUUGAUGUUUUUGAUAUGUUUUAGUGUGAUGUUGUGUAGGUUUCUUUGGAGGAGGACGAAGAGGAGAUUCAUAUCUUUCAUUGAAAAAAAACGGUGAAGCAAUCGGAUGCGCGAGUCAAAAGUUAUGGACAAAGAAGUGGGCUGCUGAAUUGGGGCACCCGCCCCAAAUCUGGCGCACCUGCCCCAAAUCUGGCGCACCCGCACCAAACCGGCAGCGAAUUUAGGCCCGUUUUGCCCGUUUCUGAUCCGUUUCGAGGCCCGAUCGCUGGGGAAGUUUAAGAAAGGCUUGGGGGACUAAACACAUAACCUAGAAAACAUUCUAAGGAGCACGUGACGGCUACGGAGAAGAUCAAGAUCGAAAAUCAUAACUUUUUACUUUUGCAAUUCUUUGAAGUAGGCGUAACUUUGGAUGCUCGUUCCGGAUUUUUUUCUUAACUCUUAUUCUCGUACUUUGACUUUGUUUUUUAUAUUCAGUACCAUGUUUACAUUCGAACCCAUGAUGAUGAGAAGUUCGAUUAUGAACUAAUCAUUGUCAUGGGAUUUUAGCGGAUUUAUCGAUGAAUUUCAGUAGUUAAUUUGUCUUGUUCAUAUGUGAUGGA